CGGACCUGUAAAAAGCACAUGAGAGUUGGUGCCUGUCAGCGUCAAAUAUUUGCAGUGAUAAUUUUUGCUUUAUUUUAGUGCUUCCCGGCGGUACAGCGAAUCCUCCUUCACGUCAAAUUUAAGAGUGGGCGGGUGGCACCAAUUAACAGGUGGAGACUGAUUAAGGGUCACUCACCUGUGGAAGAACUGUUCACCUGUAACCUGACAUGCUGAUUAAGGGCCGCGGGAGGAGAGUGUGAGCGAGCAGUGACAAGGACGGAUCCCCACACGGCCUGGCAGCGAGGUGAG
Molecule: long non-coding RNA, 288 nt
Organism: Eriocheir sinensis (Chinese mitten crab)
Lineage: Eukaryota; Metazoa; Arthropoda; Malacostraca; Decapoda; Varunidae
Exons: 3
Source: RefSeq, a predicted model, not a curated record